This 410-nucleotide ribosomal RNA is filed under the name uncultured eukaryote. RNAcentral describes it as "SSU rRNA". It matches the Rfam family "Eukaryotic small subunit ribosomal RNA", at positions 587 to 972 of the family's 1831-position model. The record is from RNAcentral.
AGCUCCAAUAGCGUAUAUUAAAGUUGCUGCAGUUAAAAAGCUCGUAGUUGGAUUUCUGACUUUAAUUCGCCUAGCCCGCUGCAGUGAUGUAUGUGAGUGCCGGGUCGGAUUGGUCAUCCUUCGUUUUUUAUGGUUUCAUUGUCUGCUCUUCACUGAGUGGCUUUGGUUAAAAACCGUGAACGAUCGUUUACUUUGAAAAAAUUAGAGUGUUUCAAGCAGGCUUAUAUUUGCUUUGAAUACAUGAGCAUGGAAUAAUAAAGUAGGACUUCGGUUCUAGUUUGUUGGUUUGGAGAGCUGAAGUAAUGAUGGAUAGGGACAGUUGGGGGUGCUAGUAUUCAGCGGCCAGAGGUGAAAUUCUUGGAUUCGCUGAAGACUCACUACGGCGAAAGCAUUCACCAAGGAUGUCUUCU